This 798-nucleotide ribosomal RNA is filed under the name Eubacterium sp. An3. RNAcentral describes it as "bacterial LSU rRNA". It matches the Rfam family "Bacterial large subunit ribosomal RNA", at positions 2047 to 2845 of the family's 2925-position model. The record is from RNAcentral. Lineage: Bacteria; Bacillati; Bacillota; Clostridia; Eubacteriales; Eubacteriaceae.
AUACCAGUGAAGAUGCUGGUUACCCGCGCCAGGACGGAAAGACCCCAUGGAGCUUUACUCCAGCCUGAUACUGGGAUUCGGUAUUGCAUGUACAGGAUAGGUGGGAGGCUGAGAAGUGGCGACGCCAGUCGCUAUGGAGCCGCUGUUGGGAUACCACCCUUGCAGUACUGGGUUUCUAACCAUGAGCCGUGACCCGGCCAUGGGACAAUGUCAGGCGGGGAGUUUGACUGGGGCGGUCGCCUCCGAAAGGGUAUCGGAGGCGCUCGAAGGUCUCCUCAGGAUGGUUGGAAACCAUCCAGAGAGUGCAAAGGCAGAAGGAGGCUUGACUGCGACACCGACGGGUGGAGCAGGUACGAAAGUAGGACUUAGUGAUCCGGUGGCAUAACGUGGGAUUGCCAUCGCUCAACGGAUAAAAGCUACCCUGGGGAUAACAGGCUUAUCACUCCCAAGAGUUCACAUCGACGGAGUGGUUUGGCACCUCGAUGUCGGCUCAUCGCAUCCUGGAGCUGGAGCAGGUUCCAAGGGUUGGGCUGUUCGCCCAUUAAAGCGGUACGCGAGCUGGGUUCAGAACGUCGUGAGACAGUUCGGUCCCUAUCCGGCGCGGGCGCAGGAGAUCUGAGAGGAGCUGUCCUUAGUACGAGAGGACCGGGAUGGACCGUCCGCUGGUGGACCAGUUGUCAUGCCAAUGGCACGGCUGGGUAGCCAAGACGGGGAGGGAUAAACGCUGAAGGCAUCUAAGCGUGAAGCCCCCCUCAAGAUGAGAUCUCCUAGCAGAAAUGUGAGAGACCCCUUAGAGAC